UACGAAGGGGGCGAGCGUUGUUCGGAGUUACUGGGCGUAAAGGGCGCGCAGGCGGCUCUGAAAGUCAGAUGUGAAAGCCCCGGGCUUAACCUGGGAAUUGCAUUUGAUACUCUGGAGCUUGAGUACGGGAGAGGAGAGUGGAAUUCCCAGUGUAGAGGUGAAAUUCGUAGAUAUUGGGAAGAACACCGGUGGCGAAGGCGGCUCUCUGGACCGUAACUGACGCUGAGACGCGAAAGCGUGGGGAGCGAACAGG
RNAcentral lists this ribosomal RNA (253 nucleotides) under uncultured bacterium. RNAcentral's name for it is "partial 16S ribosomal RNA". It matches the Rfam family "Bacterial small subunit ribosomal RNA", at positions 524 to 776 of the family's 1533-position model. The record is from RNAcentral.